This 908-nucleotide ribosomal RNA is filed under the name Epicoccum andropogonis. RNAcentral describes it as "LSU rRNA". It matches the Rfam family "Eukaryotic large subunit ribosomal RNA", at positions 38 to 964 of the family's 3401-position model. Lineage: Eukaryota; Fungi; Ascomycota; Dothideomycetes; Pleosporales; Didymellaceae. The record is from RNAcentral.
GCAUAUCAAUAAGCGGAGGAAAAGAAACCAACAGGGAUUGCCCUAGUAACGGCGAGUGAAGCGGCAACAGCUCAAAUUUGAAAUCUGGCGUCUUUGGCGUCCGAGUUGUAAUUUGCAGAGGGCGCUUUGGCAUUGGCAGCGGUCCAAGUUCCUUGGAACAGGACGUCACAGAGGGUGAGAAUCCCGUACGUGGUCGCUAGCCUUUACCGUGUAAAGCCCCUUCGACGAGUCGAGUUGUUUGGGAAUGCAGCUCUAAAUGGGAGGUAAAUUUCUUCUAAAGCUAAAUACUGGCCAGAGACCGAUAGCGCACAAGUAGAGUGAUCGAAAGAUGAAAAGCACUUUGGAAAGAGAGUUAAAAAGCACGUGAAAUUGUUGAAAGGGAAGCGCUUGCAGCCAGACUUGCCUGUAGUUGCUCAUCCGGGUUUCUACCCGGUGCACUCUUCUAUAGGCAGGCCAGCAUCAGUUUGGGCGGUUGGAUAAAGGUCUCUGUCAUGUACCUCCUCUCGGGGAGAUCUUAUAGGGGAGACGACAUGCAACCAGCCUGGACUGAGGUCCGCGCAUCUGCUAGGAUGCUGGCGUAAUGGCUGUAAGCGGCCCGUCUUGAAACACGGACCAAGGAGUCUAACAUCUAUGCGAGUGUUUGGGUGUCAAGCCCGAGCGCGUAAUGAAAGUGAACGGAGGUGGGAACCUUUCGGGGUGCACCAUCGACCGAUCCUGAUGUCUUCGGAUGGAUUUGAGUAAGAGCAUAGCUGUUGGGACCCGAAAGAUGGUGAACUAUGCUUGAAUAGGGUGAAGCCAGAGGAAACUCUGGUGGAGGCUCGCAGCGGUUCUGACGUGCAAAUCGAUCGUCAAAUUUGGGCAUAGGGGCGAAAGACUAAUCGAACUAUCUAGUAGCUGGCUUCUGCGGA